GGGGGUGACAGAUUGCCACAAACCGGUCAUAUGCCAUCGCAGCCAGGAGGAGACUAUCCAAACAUCCAAAAAGCAUAAAAAAAGACAUCUGAGUCAGGCAGCCCACAUACGAGAUGACUCUGCUCUGCGUUUGGAUGUCCACAAUCAUCUUGGGGAUGGUAGUAGAGGUGAAACCGAUGUCAGCCAAUGACAGGUUGGAGAGGAAAAAGUACAUGGGGGUGUGGAGGUGGGGGUCAGAGCUGACGGCCAGGAUGAUGAGCAGGUUCCCGAGCACGCUGACCAGGUACAUAGACAGGAACAGCCCAAAGAGGAGGGGCUGCAGUUCUAGAUCAUCUGAGAGUCCCGUGAGGAAGAAUUCUGAAACCCUUGUUAGAUUUUGUGGUUCUAUGUACCUUGGACACCUUUUGAAAAAGAAAAGAAGGUUGGGGAAAGUAAACAAGUCAAUGGGCAUUCAGCACUGUGUCCAUGUUGUGUAUUCAAGCAGUUCACAAGGAAAAUAUUCACACUUAGGAUCAUACAGUCCAGUACCUUCAACAAUAUUUCUGUGCCUAAAAUUCAAUUGUCUUAGAACUGUUUCCUCACUCGUUUCUCUGUUAUUCUCUCUUUCUCUCUCUUUUUUAAAUUUUAGACAGAGUCCACAGGAGUGGAGGAGGGGGCAGAGGGAGUGGGAUUGAGAAUCCAGGGUUCUAUCUCAUGACCCUGGGACCAUAAUCUGAGCAGAAAUCAAGUCAGCCACUCAAACAACUGAGCCAUCCAGGUACCCUCUUCCUAUACACACUUUAAAGAUACUCAGCUGAAGAAUGUUAGAGGAGCAAGAACAUUUAGAGAUAAAUGAUAAAUCCAUGAUCACCAUAAAAUACUCUUUUAAAGAAAUAUAUUGAAUAAGAAACAUUCUUCUUCCUUUAAGGAAAAAAUUAUUCUAAUUAAAGGGCACUUAGAAGCAUCCUAUUUUAUUCAAAUAAGUGCAAGAAAUUCUCUUUAGGAUAUUGAUAAACUGUGUAAUUGCUAGAAUUACACUCUGACAUUCUAAAUUAAAGUCAAAUAUUUACAAUCAGAAAGUUUUUCAAAGUGUAUUAAUUUUCUUCAUGGGUUUCAUCACUGUCUGGUUUUCUGACUUUUCUCCUCAGUGGAAAUAUGUGUUCACUCACAUAUGUGGGUUGUCUCCUUAAAGUCUUUUCAAAUAUAGGGGUGCCUGUUGGCUCAGUCGGUUAAAUGUCCAAUUCCUGAUUUCGGUCAUGAUCUCAUGGUUCAUGGGUUCAAGCCCUGUGUUGGACUCUAUGCUGACAGCACAAAGCCUGCUUAAAAUUCUC
RNAcentral lists this long non-coding RNA (1310 nucleotides) under Lynx pardinus (Iberian lynx). The record is from RNAcentral. Lineage: Eukaryota; Metazoa; Chordata; Mammalia; Carnivora; Felidae.